Molecule: RNase P RNA, 464 nt
Filed under: Clostridium sp.
Lineage: Bacteria; Bacillati; Bacillota; Clostridia; Eubacteriales; Clostridiaceae
Description: partial RNase P RNA component class A
Rfam family: Bacterial RNase P class A
About the family: Ribonuclease P (RNase P) is a ubiquitous endoribonuclease, found in archaea, bacteria and eukarya as well as chloroplasts and mitochondria.
Source: RNAcentral
UGAGUCGGACAGAUGGUCGCUGCUGCAGGUGCCGAAAGGCCGCAGGAGAGGAAAGUCCGGGCUUCACAGGGCAGGAUGCCAGAUAACGUCUGGUGGAGGCGACUCCCAGGACAGUGCAACAGAAAUGUACCGCGUAAGCAAUGAGUCCACACGGUCCGGGUUUUGGGCGGAUGUGCAGGGCAGACUUGUCUGCAGCUGCACAGAUGCACAAAAGUCGGAGUGCGCGGCGAAUGCCGCGUAUCUCGCGCACUUUGUGCGCGAGAUACCGUGUGGACAUCCACAAAGCCUCGAGCGCACUUUGUGCGCGAGAUACCGUGUGGACAUCCAUAAAGAUGUCAGACGCACUUUGUGCGUGUGGACAUCCAGCGGGAGGUCCCCGGACCUUUGACCGCGCUUACGUAAGGGUGGAAGGGCAGUGUAAGAGACUACCGCCUGGGUGGUAACACGCAGGGCACAUGUAAACC